GUCUACGGCCAUGCCACCCUGAACAAGCCCGAUGUCUGAUCUCGGAAGCUAAGCAGGGUCGGGCCUGGUUAGUACUUGGAUGGGAGACCACCUAGGAAGACCAGGUGCUGUAGGCA
RNAcentral lists this ribosomal RNA (116 nucleotides) under Pteropus alecto (black flying fox). RNAcentral also lists the same sequence under 1 other name. Lineage: Eukaryota; Metazoa; Chordata; Mammalia; Chiroptera; Pteropodidae. The record is from RNAcentral.